GGCAUCACAUGAUUCGGCACCUUCACCAAAAAACAACGAACAAGCUCAUAACAAAACAGAUACAGAGAGCAAUGAGACGUAUGAUUCAUUAGAAGGCACGAAGACACAAGAUCAACAUCAAUCUAGAGAGUCGGUGGAGACAGAUUCGAAUGAUUCAGUACAUUCAUCGCAAACUUCCGAACAAUGUCAAUAUACAAUAGAGGCAGAAGAUGGGGAGAGUGAUGAUUAUCUUAACGGUAAGGU
Ruditapes philippinarum (Manila clam) is the source of this 243-nucleotide long non-coding RNA. RefSeq lists it as uncharacterized. The record is from RefSeq and is a predicted model, not a curated record. The transcript has 4 exons. NCBI's taxonomy places the organism in Eukaryota, Metazoa, Mollusca, Bivalvia, Venerida, Veneridae.